Molecule: long non-coding RNA, 3423 nt
Organism: Brassica rapa (field mustard)
Lineage: Eukaryota; Viridiplantae; Streptophyta; Magnoliopsida; Brassicales; Brassicaceae
Source: RefSeq, a predicted model, not a curated record
GACUGUUCUGCGUGAAAACCACCAAAUUGCACUGUUUGCUGCCUCUUUUGUUCCAGCUGGUCCAUCUCCCAUCCAAUGCAACUCUAGACCUGUAAUGACUCGAAAAGGACUAGAAAGACUCGAUAAAGACUUGAAAACCAAUUGAAAAGCACAUAUACAAGAUGUAUAAAACACCAUAUAUCAAUAGUACAAAUACAAAUUAAAAUCACAACUUUUGAACCCGUUUUUUACUGCUUUAUCGUUUCAAAGGAAGAGUAUACUUUUUGUUUUAUAUUUUCUUUUAAAAAUUUAAUUUUUAUAUUUGUGUUUUUCUUUGUAAUUAUAUUUGUGUUUUUUUUGUAAUCAUAUUUGUAUAACAUAUACUUUUUAAAAUUAUUAGUAAGGGUUAUGAUAAUUGUAUUAAAUUUGUGAUGUUGCAUAACUAUACACUUGUGUCAUAGCCAUUUCAUACAUUAAUUUUGUACUUUAUUCCUAAACAGUAAUUAUUUUUUUUUAACAUAACAAAGUAUAGUUAUAUAAUGUAACUAAUAAUUUUUAAUAUAAACAAACAAAUAAAAUUGGUUCUCAACAAAUCAUAUAUAUUACAGCAAGUUUCAAAUAACAAACAUUUUAUUUAGUAGAUUAGACGAAUAAAUAUUUUUUUUUGUUGAUUUUAAAAUAAAAAUAAAAAUAAAACAUGAUCUACGUUUCAACGCGGACCAUAUCUUAAUGUAAUAGUUAAGAGUGAUUAUGUUUUAAUAAUAUAUAUACUUAAAUUAUUAGAAGUAAUUUCAUUUUAAUAAUAUAGAUACACCAUACAAUUUUAUAUGGCAACCAAUAUACUUAAACCAAACCAAACCAAUUUUUUUUUCCAAAUCCAAAUUCGUAAAUAACCAAACUAAUACUAUAUUUCUUAAACCAAAAAACAAAACACAAAAUCAAACCGAAACCAAACCAAAAACCAAAAAAAUAUAAUCUGGAUACAAACCGAAUUUAUAAAAUAUCAUCAAAUUAUAAAAUUUAAUUUCAAAACAUAAAUAUAAAUAAUCACGCCACUGCGCGGAUUAAAAUCUAGUUAGUGAUAAAUAAAUGAUAAUCAUUGUAUUUAUAAUAUGAUGGUGAAAGUUUAAACUACAUUUUAAGUAAAUUGAAGGUGUAUGUUCAGUUGAUCAAUCCAUUGGACAUUCCCUAAUUAUGUUACAUACACAAUCAAAAAGGAAAAUAUGCAAAUUUUCAGAAAUUCAUGACAUUUUUUAAGCCACCUAUUUGCUUGUAGCAUCAAUACUUUCUUUUUUUUUUGUGCAAAGCAUCAAUACUUUCAUUUAAGGACAUUCCUAUCAAACUUAUGUCUUCUAUAUUUUUAUCAACCCACCUAUAUAUUCUGUCACUGUCUAUCACCUUUAAGUUUCCAUGUAUUAGGUAUGGUAUAGAAUAGUGUAUAUAUAUUGCAUAACACCAAUAAUAUAACAAAGAAGGGUGCGUGAACUUUAUCCUGUCACUGAGAACAUGAGAAAUUAUCUCAAAAAGAGAGUUAUAGAGAAAAGAAGAAGAAAAGCAAUAGAAUAAUUAAUAAAACAAGAAACAAAAAAAGAUCUCAAGAUUUUAAAUAUUUUAAAGAGAAAACAAAAGAAAAAAAGUAAGACGAUAGAAAUGUGUCAGAAGAAUACAGAGCACUUGCCCAAGAAACCAUAGAAAAUGUCUAUGUAAAUCUAAUCUCAAGGAUAUUGUAAUGAUCAGAGACUAUCUGUGGUCAUGUUGGGAACUUUGUGGGAUAUCUCACGUGGGACGAUCUUUCUCUUUAUAGAUAACCAAAAAAACAAUGUAACUAUUAUGAAGUUAAUUUGUCAACUAUGUUGUGUGAAAAUAAUGUAGAUUGAAUUUAAUUAUUGAUGUAAAGUAGGUUGUUAGUGAAUCAAGGAGCAUGAAUGAUGAUUGGUACAUGAACACCACUGUAUUUGCUACCUUGCCUUGUGAGGCAACCUAUCUCAUUUUUGGUAUAUCUUACACUAUAUAAUAAUAAACAAAAUAAAAUAUGAUAUUUGUUUUGGAUAUAAAAACUUGUUAUUGUUACAUACUUAGCGUCCACUCUAGAAUUAAUUAUGCAGUGUGCAAAAUAACUGUUUUUAAUGGAUAUGUGUUUCAGUAUAAUAAAACAAUGACGCACUUGGAACCGUUGAAUAUCCGAAAUGUUCAUUAGUUUCUGCAUUUUUCAUAUGAGAUUUGUUCAAAAGGUUAUUUCAUUGUCAUUUUAAAUACCAACCAUUGAGCUAUGUUUUUCUUAUAAUCAGUUCGCUAUUGAAUAAUUUGAUUUAUAACUAAUCAGCUAAGUAAUAACAACCGAACGGGUUCAAUUUGUUUAACUUUGACGAUUAAGAAACUGGUAUGCUCUACUAAACUUGAAUUACUACAAAUGUGCGAUACGAAUCUGCAUUUGUUUUUUUACGCUUUCAUAUGACGGGUCAACUACUUUGAUGACUUACACUGCUUGGAUUACCAGUUGGAUCAGAAUUACGAUUCAUAUCAACAUACAUUGGACUGAGACUGAGAGACAGCUUGGCCACUACCAUUCAGAGGUUAACCAAUUAUAUUCAUACCUUUAAACAUGUAUAUGUCUGUGGUCCUUCAUAAGUUUUAAUAGUCCUCCUUUGUUGACACUGUGCUGUCACAUAGAUUCUUCAUAGAUCUUUCGAGAGAAAAAGGGAACAAUAACAGAUCAAGGUCAUGAUAAAGUCCCAAAACUCUGAAAUAAAGAUAGUUAAAAUUCUCUAUGUAAACCAGGAUAACUUAGUCUAGUGGUAUACGGCUUGCGGCUGCAAGUACAGUCUCGAGUUCGACUCGUACUAGCCACCGAGGCUUUCACAUGGAUUCUUCGACCCGAGGAGACCAACACAUAGCCUGAUCCAAAGCGGUCGCCAAAGGCUCUAAGCCUGCCACGUGGCUAGUCUGGAUCUGCGAAGUGGGGACCAGAAAACUCCUCGUAAAUAUCAAAAAAAAAUUCCUAUGUAAUAAUUUUAAUGAACGUCUAUUGGAUAGUAACGAUAUUAUUUUUUGUGUAUUAAACGGCUGGAUGGAUAAAUCAGAUGACGCAAUUCGUGAUGAUGGUUACAAAUAAUUGGUAAAAGUUGAAAAUAACGGAAGUUUACUCAUAUCUUGCUGAUUACGAACGUUAGUAUAUGUUAAUGUAACGAAAAGUGAUGUUAGUUUCACAAGGGUGAGUAUUUAUUGUAAUGGUGUAGGUAAGGUGAAUAAGGGAUGAAUUGAUUUAUUGAUUGUGAGAGUGGAAGCAGUCAAAGUCGUCGUUGCGUAUGAUUUUGCAUGCUUUGGUGUCAACGCAAUAGGGUAAAACCAAGGUCGAAGCACUGGCUUUGCUUGCUUGUUUUUUAUCUAAUCAUGGGGAAGAAGGAACCAUCCAACAAAAAAAGACAGUUUAAUUAAAUAAAUAAA